This is an RNA transcript of Zingiber officinale, 7320 nucleotides long. RefSeq lists it as uncharacterized. The transcript has 2 exons. The record is from RefSeq and is a predicted model, not a curated record. Lineage: Eukaryota; Viridiplantae; Streptophyta; Magnoliopsida; Zingiberales; Zingiberaceae.
UUGAGGUUUAUGAACUUCAGCAGUGUGUUACUUGUGUGCUAAUUAAGGUGUGAUUAUGAUUAUGAUUAUGAUUAUGAUUAUGAUCUGCAUAAUCUACCUCUGUAUUAGCUAAACCCUGUUAUCCAUCUGAAAUAUAUAGUUUGUUUUUAUAUAUAAUGAUUAGCUCUGCUCCUUCAAAAGUGAUAUUUAAUUAAUUAAGAUCUUACGAUUUAAUUAGAGUAUUUUGAAAUUAUAUUUGUCAUAUUAAAUUUAUGACUUUUAACAUAUAAUAUUAAUAUAAAUAUUUUAGACAAUAUUACCUACAUGAAGCAUGAAUAAAAAUUAUUAAUAUUAGAUAGUUGAAGUUAGUUUGGAUUGUGAUUUAUUUAAUGAAUUCAUUAAAAAUUAUAAGAAUAUGAUGAGAUUGAUCUAAAAUAAUCCUGGAAGGUUUAAGAUUUUAAUUUAUAAAUUAUCCAUGAUUAUAAUUCAGAAAAGUUUCUCUUGAUAUACAUGAAUUAUGUUUGUAUGGCACACACAGUUAUAUUACACAGUUAUAUUCGUUUUACUCUCUCUCCGCUUCUGCUUUUAUUCAAAACAGCAGCAUGGGAAUUUUUUCCAAAUUCUAAAUUUCCCUCGGCGCUCUCUCUCACUCUCGCCUCUUCAUCGUCGGCUUCCAUCGCAGCUGACUGAAGCUCCCCAAACUGUGCGUUGAACACAAAGGCGACGCUGGUGUAAAAGCCUCCCUUUCUCCAUUCUCGAUCGUAAGUCUUUCCCAUCCACUGUCUGUUAUUCAGUUGUGUAUAAUUUUUUUUUGCACCAUAUACAUAUAUCCUAUCAAGCACAAGCCCUAGCUGCUAUGCUACCAAUUUUUUGCUUAUAUAAUUUGCAGGUAACUUGCCAAACAUCAUUUCUAUCUGCAUUUUAUAACCAAUGGUAAAUCAUUUCAUUGUAAGUUGUAAUUCCCGACCGUGAUCCUAAAGUAAUAUUAGAAGGAAGAAAGGAUUUAUGCUACAACGUGCAAGGUCGAUGCCUGCUACAAAUGGCUGCAGUCACUUGGACAGUUAGCUGCUAUAAGUUGUAGCAGCUACAUCGAUAGGUAACUGCUACACUUUGUAGCAGCUAACUGUCCAUGUAGCUGCUACAACGUGUAGCAGCCAUUUGGUAAGUUAUUUUUGUAGCAGUUAUAUUUUCUAGCAUAUAUUGCCCCUAAAAAUAUUUUUAUUAUGUAUAUCAACUUAGUAAAAAAUUAUUUAAAAUUAUUUUUGCUACUACAACCCCUUUGCUUUGCUGCUAUACGUUGUAGCAGCUACUUUGACAAUUAACUGCUACACCUUGUAGCAGCUAACUUGGAAUGUUAGCUACUACAACGUUGUAGCAGCUACUUCCAUAGUGAUAGCUGCUACAACAUUAUAGCAAUUACGUUCCAGAGUGGAAGUAGCUAAAUCGACGGUUAGGUACUACAUUAUUGUAGCAGCUACUUGGAAUGAUAGCUGUUACAACUUUAUAGCAACUAUCACUGUGGAAUUAGCUGCUACACCUUAUAGCAACUAACUUGGAAUGUUAGCUGCUACGACGUAGUAGCAACUAAUUCCACAGUGGAAGUAGCCGCUACACCAUUGUAGCAGCUAACUUGGAAUGCUAGCUGCUACAAUGUUAUAGCAGCUGUUUCUUCGUUUAUGCUCAACAAGAUGUGACUCUACAUUUUUCAAGCAAUAAUAAAUCAAAUCAAUCUUAGUUUUUUAUUUAGAUCAAUUUAAUGAACUUCUACACAUUGUAUUAGUUAAUGUAUAAAUAGUUAGAAGCUGCUACACGUUAUAGCAGGUGUAAAAGACCCCCUUUGUCCAUUCACGAUCGUAAGCCUUUCCCCUCCACUAUCUGUUAUUCAGCUGUGUACAAAUUUUUUUUUCACCAUAUAUAUAUCCUACCAAGCACAAGCCCUAGCUGCUAUGCUACCAGUAAUUUGCUUAUAUAAUUUGCAGAUAACUUGCCAAACAUCAUUUCCAUCUGUAUUUCAUAACCAAUGGUAAAUCAUUUCAUUGUAAGUUGUAAUUCCCGACCGUGAUCCUAAAGGAAUAUUAGAAGGAAGGAAGGAUCUAUGUUAUAACAUGCAAGGCCGGCGCCUGCUACAAAUGCCUGCAGCCACUUGGACAAUUACUGCUACAAGUUGUAGCAGCUACUUCGACAGGUAACUGCUACACCUUGUAGCAGCUAACUGUCUUUGUAGCUGCUACAAGGUGUAGCAGUCACUUGGUAAGUUAUUUUUGUAGCAGCUACAUUAUUUUCUAGCAGAUAUUACCCCUAAAAAUAUUUUUUAUAUAUAUAUCAUCUUGGUAAAAAUUAUUUAAAAUUAUUUUUGUUGCUGCAGUGCCUUUGCUUCGCUGUUACAUGUUGUAACAGCUACUUCGAUAAUUAACUGCUACACCUUGUAGCAGCUAACUUGGAAUGUUAGUUGCUACAACUUUGUAGCAACUACUUCCACAGUGAUAGCUACUACAACAUUAUAGCAAUUACGUUCCAGAGUAGAAGUAGUUAAAUCGACAGUUAUCUACUACAAUAUUGUAGCAGCUACUUGGAAUGAUAGCUACUACAACGUUGUAGCAGGCAUCACUGUGGAAGUAGCUGCUACACCUUGUAGCAGCUAACUUGGAAUUUAGCUGCUACAACAUUGUUGCUGCUACAACAUAAAGUAGCUACUAUAGAAUAAUUGCUUCACGUUGUAGCAGCUAAUCGGCAGCAGCUGCUACAACAUGUAGCAACUUAUCGGUAGUAGCUGCUAAAGGGGACAAAUAAAUGAUGGAUUACAACGUGUAGCAGCUUAUCGACAAUAAUUACUACACGUUAUAGUAGCUAGUCAGUUGUUGCUGCUACAACUUGUAGCAGCUACUGUUGCACAUUGUAGCAGCUAGUCAGCAGUUGCUUCAACACCGUUUAUAUAUUACUCCCCCCCCCCCCCGUAAUUGUUAAAUCGUGAAAGUGAUAGACUAAUUAUCCUUUUGUCCACCCUUCCACGACCAUGACCACAGUUAACCCAUACUAAGUUCAAGAGUACCCACCGUCGCUUCGUCCAUCAACCUCACUACGAUGUCUAGUUUUCACCUUUGAGUAUGCGUCCCUAUCGUAAGUUAUUUUAAUUGGACUCUUCACCUAGGAAUUAGAGUUUAGACUUUUAGGGUUUAUAUGAUUUUGAAUCUCCUCCUAGAAUAGCGUAGUUACCUCUACGAGCAUUUAAAUAUUUCCUCUAUAUUAUAUUUUCUACUAAUGUAUCUCCAUGUACGAUUGAAAUUUUUAAAUUUAUUUUGAGCAAAAUAUGUCAUUCUCUAGCAAUGGAAAAAACCUGUGAUGCUAAUCAGCUAACUAUACAUUCCCCAAAUCGUUGAAGAUUGAAAACCACGAAUUGGGAUGGAAUUUGCAUCAUUGGAGGAGGCAUAUUCGUUCUAUAAUCAAUAUGCGCACAUGAAGUCAGAUUUAGUGCAAGAUUAGGCAACAGCAAGAAAAAUUAGAGGACAAAUGAAGUUGGAUGGAAAUAAUUUGUAUGCUUUAAAGAAGGAUAUAUACAUGAUAAAUGAAAAAAAAGAAACACAAGUUGACAGUAUAAAGGAAAGAGAACAAUAUGCAUCUUUGACUGAUAAGGAGAAAAACUUCUUGUAUGAACAAUUAAAUUGUAUAUACAGUAAAAUUCAAGAGAUGAACAUUAGCAGAAAAUGUGACAAUCAAAGUCAAAGGAAGAAAGUCAUCGAUGGGGCCCCCUCUAUUGUUGAUCCUUCUUUAGUAAGGGCAAAGGGCUAUGGGAAAAGAUUAAAAUCUUCAAAAGAGACGUCUACCUCAAAGUCUAAGCUAUGUCGUGGAUGCGAUCACCGAGGUGUCUCACACGACAAGUGCAACUGUCCAUUAUUGCAACAAGGGUAUGCGUCCAUUAAUUAUGCAUUUGUAGUAUAAUUUUAUUCCUAAAUCAAUGAUUUUUAUCCAUUAAUAGUAAAUUUGAUGAUGAGUCGAUUGCCAGAUCAACUGCUACAGAGAAAGAUAAUACCAACAAUGACGAAUCAUAUGAAGAAGAUUUGACAUGUUCUAACAACUUUUCCUUUGAGUUAUGAGCCUAGAUUGACCAAACUCUCGGUAAGCGGUUAUUACUUAUUACGUUGUUAUUCCAUUAAUAAUCUGAGAUGUAUUACAUAAAGCCUAACUUUUUAUUAUAACAAAUUCAUUUUUCCAUUGAACUUGCUUUCAUCAUCAUCCCUCUUUCUACCAUUAAUUAAUUGAUGGGUCUGAGGAUCUCCAUAAAUUAAAUAAUUUCAAAUUAUAUAAGUGAUCAUUGAAUUAUUAAUAGAGAUUAAGGCUUGUUAGCUGCAUCGGCAGUAGCUGCUACACUUUGUAGUAGAUCACGUCUCUGAAGUAGCUGCUACAAUUUAUAGCAGCUAAUCCGCACUAACUGCUACAGAGUGUAGCAGCUAAUCUUCAGAAGCUGCUACACUUUGUAGUAGUUACUCUUGAGAAGUUGCUAAAAUUUAUUUUCUCUCUAAUCCACACUAACUGCUAUAGAGUGUAACAACUACUCUUGAGAAGCUGCUAUGGUUGUAGCAGAUCACUUUAUUACUAGAUCUUGAUAAAUGUUGGCUUAUAAUUAUCUUUGUUGUUUCAGGUUCUAACAACAUGACCUUUGAGUUAUAAAACUAGGUUUACCAAACUCUCGGCGAGCAGUUAAUAGAAUGACCGGAUGAAUUUGACAAACUUGUUGGUUAUUACAGAUCGCUUUGACAAACUUCUGUGAUAUUGUUGAUAAUAGACAAAAAGUGGCAUUUUGUAUGUAGAGUGGCGUAUAUAUAUAUUCCCUUGGCUAUAAUGAGAGAAAGUAUUAAAAUAGAGAAAUAAUAAACAUUUUCGUUCCUUUUAUAUUUUUAAGGCUUCCUCUUUUGAUCUUUUACACAAGGCAAGAUUUAUUCAAACCGUCACCUCUUUCCUAAAAUAACUAGGAUUGGUAGAAUUUCUCAUUCUACUCCUAUUUGUACACUAUUAUUCUAUUAAUAAUCCGAGAUAUCUUACAUAAUGCCUCCCUCUGUGUUGUAGCAGUUACGGAUAGAUAGCUGCUACAACAUUAAGUCAUAUGUUGUAGCAGUUACCGACCUGUAAUUACUACAACAUCAACUUAAUUAUAAUUAAAUUUCAUCGACCCUCCCGUUGCAUUUAAAGUGUUAUUUGGAAAUCAUGUUUCAGUUGCUACAAGAGUGUAGCAGCUACCACACACUAGCUACUACAACGUGGAACUCAUGUUCAUUGUUUAUGAGUUUGAUCAUGACUCAUGAGUCCACUUUAAUUUACUGCAUCAUGAUAUCACAACAUACCUAAGAAAUAAAAUAGGAAUAAUACAUUUAUUAUCAAUACGGCAGAGAUUACAUCGCAAGUGUAAUAUUAUCAAUCAAAUAUUACAUCUCCUUUACAUUGUAAGUGUAAUAUUGAACACAGUGAUCACAGUGUUCUGAAUCCCCAUGACUGCUCACAUUGUUCACAUAUUAUUUUCCUUCUUCCUCACGUCCUUUGGUCGUGCUUGGGAAGUUCGCCGAGGCGAGAAUCCUAUGGUUACUCCAUGAGGAUUCCUCAGUGCAUUCCCGAGGCUCUUUGUCAUGAACACAGGAUUUUGGGAAAACUUCAACUACUCUAUGAGUAGCCUAACCUCAUCCACGUGCAUCAUCGGGGCUAGACAAUUGUGUUCACAUUAAAGAUAUUUGUUUACAAAUAUAGAAGCUUACACUAAACCGUGAAAGGCAACAUAACCGCUUUGUCAUUCCCUCUUUGAGAGCAAGAUACACUUGAAUAUGUACACAAGAUGUCAUGAAAGAAAUGAUGAAGGUGGUGUCAGGAAAAUAACAUCAAUCCAUUAAUAAGCUACUCAUUUACCUUUGGAUGUGAUCAAAGGAGCCUGCCUGCCUCUGUUAUAUAGGAAAGCAGAGGAGCUUACUAUUCAAUCUGGGAAUAGUUGUAUUCACGUGUCAACAACUAGGCUUUUGACAAAAUAGGAUUUUGAAUUCUUCAUGAGUCAUAAUUUAUGACAGAUAUGACUAGUCAUAGCUGUCAUAAAGAUGACAGCUAUGAGUGAUCACUCUAUGGACCUCACGGAUCAAUAGACUAGAUGUGGUAGGUCGCCAUUAAUUAAUUGGUGUGGCUACAUAAAUUUAUUAAUUUUAAAUUAUAUAAGAGACCAUUGAAUUAUUAAUAGAUAUUAGAGAUUGUUAGUUGCAUCACCAGUAGCUGCUACACCUUGUAGUAGCUCACGUCUCUGGAGUAGCUGCUGCAAUGUAUAGCAGCUAAUCCACAGUAACUACUACACGUUGUAGCAGCUCAUGUCUCUGGAGUAGCUGCUACAAUGUAUAGCAACUAAUCUGUAGUAACUGCUACACAGUGUAGCGGCUACUCUUGAGAAGUUACUACAUUUUGUAGCAGCUUCUGAUGACUAUCUGCUACAACGUGCUGCAGUAGCUCAUGUGCGCAAAUAGUAUGAUCUUAUACGCAUGUUUUAGCACACAUUCACUUGACUUAUGCACAUAUAUUCUUCACAUGAUCACAUCUUUUAUCUUAUAUUCAUCAUAUAUAUUGUUUUGUUCGGAUAUCUGCCCUUUGUUUGGUUUUAUGUUGACAGGAAAGAUUUUCAAAGCUUGAACGGAGAAUAUUGAUGCACUGGAACCAACCAGACAACACGGUCGUGCAACCCUGCACGGCCGUGUGGCCAAACAGAAGAGGAAAAGCACAUGACCGUGCAACCCUGCACGGUCAUGCGACCAAAAUAGUGACCAGUCAGCACACGGUCGUGCAACCCUGCACAGCCGUGCCACCCCAGGCAGAGAAGGAGAUUUGCACGGCCGUGCACCCCUGCACUACCGUGCCCCGGGAGACAGAGCCCAGGGGCUACACGGUCGUGCGACCCUGCACGGCCGUGCAGCCACGCACAGAACCGGAGAAGGGCACGACUAUGACACCCUUACACGGCUGUGCUGUCGCGGCCAAACCCUAAGGCUAUAUAAGGGUUUUAACCCUUUUUGCCAGAGAGGGAGGCAAGCCGUCAGGGAGAAAAAGAUCUUGGAGCAAUUCUACGCCAUUUUGGACCGUCGUUCAGCGAACUUCCACCACCACAUCGACUCCAGAAGCUGAGAGUUGGAUCCGAAGGCCACUCUUCGACAUCCGAUAAACAUAUUCCUUCUUACUUGCUGAGAAUUAUAUGUUUGUCUAUACUAUGUUUUCAUACAUCUCUCUAGCAUUCAUGGAGUAGAUCCCUUGUUCUGGGAUUAGGGAGUAGUCAUGGUACGGAUUGAUGUAAAACUCGUAUUAUGUUUAUACUUGUUGGAUGAACUUUCA